RNAcentral lists this unclassified non-coding RNA (555 nucleotides) under Hevea brasiliensis (rubber tree). The record is from RNAcentral. Lineage: Eukaryota; Viridiplantae; Streptophyta; Magnoliopsida; Malpighiales; Euphorbiaceae.
GCCUCCGCCGCCUAACUUGUCCUUCUCCGCCCCUUCUCCAUCAAUGCUCACCACUCUCGGCCCCUUCACCUUCUCCGUCGCAACUUUCGCCACCGUCACCUUCAACACCCCGUCCUCCAUCCUCGCCUUCACAGACUCCAAAUCUGCAUUAUCCGGCAAACGGAACUGCCGCCAGAACUUCCCAUAGGCCCGCUCGAUGGUGUGCCACCGCUCGCCCUUCUUCUCCUCCUCCCGCUUCCGCUCGCCACUUAUCCGUAAAAUCCGGUUCUCCUCCACCUCUAUCUUCAGCUCCUCCCGCUUCAGCCCCGGCACGUCGAGGAUAAUCUCGUGGGAUGAAGGGGUUUCUUUCCAGUCGGCUCGGGCUGGGGAGAUUGCGGCGAGGUCGGCGCCGUCGAGGCCAAAGGGGAUGUGCUCGAGGAUGCGGAACGGGUCAAGCUCCGGUUGGUUGUCGCUGGGGCGGCCGAGGAAGGGAAGGAGGGAGGAGGAUGACGGUAGUGUUAGUGUAAGGAGGACGGUAACGGCGAAGAUGAUGGAGAGCUUCAUCGCUUGCUUCUU